This 465-nucleotide ribosomal RNA is filed under the name uncultured bacterium. RNAcentral's name for it is "partial 16S ribosomal RNA". It matches the Rfam family "Bacterial small subunit ribosomal RNA", at positions 28 to 507 of the family's 1533-position model. The record is from RNAcentral.
GAUGAACGCUGGCGGCGUGCUUAACACAUGCAAGUCGAACGGCAACGCACUUGCUUGCUGGGGUACCCGAGUGGCGAUCGGGUGCGUAACAGGAGGGUGAUCUGAUCUGCACUUCGGGAUAAGAUUGGGAAACUGGGUCUAAUACCAGAUAGGAUGAUGGUUACGAUGCCAAUGAGGAAAGCUUCUGGGUGUGGGCUGAGCUGUCGGCCUAUCCGCGUGUUGGUGGAGUGCUGGGCUAACACGCCCUCGACGGGUAGCCGGCCUGAGAGGGUGGACGGUCACAUUGGGACUGAGAUACGGCCCAGCCUCCUACGGUAGACAGCAGUGGGGAAUAUUGCACAAUGGUCGCAAGCCUGAUGCAGCGGCGCCGCGUGUGGAAUGACGGCCUUCUGGGUAUAAACACCUUUCGCUAGAUACGAAGCUCAAGUGACGGUACCUGAAGAAUAAGCACCGGCUAACUACGUG